GAACAUCCUCAACCUGCUUCGUUCUAUCGAACCAAGUAGGCUUGGAACUUGGAGGUUUUUCUGCUGGCUUCCUCUCAAGCCAGCUCCUCUUAAAUCUAUCAGUGGGAUCCGCUUUGCUAGAUCCUCGACGUUGAUAAGAUGUUUCUACGUCUUGGGUUUCGCUCGGGAAGGACCUGCUUCUAACCGUCCCCAUCGGGGACAGAUGUUCGAGAGCCGAUCGCCCUUCACGGGGUGGGAAGCUUUUCGACCCAUGAAA
RNAcentral lists this unclassified non-coding RNA (256 nucleotides) under uncultured Russula. Its description in RNAcentral is "sequence contains ITS2". Lineage: Eukaryota; Fungi; Basidiomycota; Agaricomycetes; Russulales; Russulaceae. The record is from RNAcentral.